CAUCACUACGCUAGAUGCAUAUCAAUAAGCGGAGGAAAAGAAACUAACUAAGGAUUCCCUCAGUAACGGCGAGUGAAGCGGGAAGAGCUCAAAUUUGAAAUCUUCAAGGUUUUACCUUGACGAAUUGUAGUUUAAAGAAGUGUUUUCUGUUGAAGUUUUGGUAAAAGUUCUUUGGAAUAGGACAUCAUAGAGGGUGAGAAUCCCGUAUUUGACCAUUAUUUCCAGCUGUGUGAUACACUUUCAAAGAGUCGGAUUGUUUGGGAAUGCAGUCCAAAAUGGGUGGUAAAUUUCAUCUAAAGCUAAAUAUUGGCGAGAGACCGAUAGCGAACAAGUACCGUGAGGGAAAGAUGAAAAGAACUUUGAAAAGAGAGUUAAACAGUACGUGAAAUUGUCAAAAGGGAAGCGUUUGACACCAGUGUUGUUUUCUCGAAAAUCAAUUAAAAAUGAUGGAUUUUGUGUUGUAUUAACCUUUAUCAAGCUUUCUUCACUUUUUUCUUGAUCUUUUUUAAUGCACUUUUCGUUUAACAAGUCAACAUCAGUUUCUUUUGUUGUAAAAGGGUCAUUGGAAGGUGGCUUUCUUUUCGGAGAAAGUGUUUAUAGCCUUUGAUCUCUGCAACCGGAGAGACUGAGGUCUGCAGCGUAGACUCUUCGGGGUUAAAUACAUUUGUGCUAAGCUAUAGCUUUUAUAGACAACUUGUUGACUAUGAUUAGUCAUGUAGCUUACUCGUUUACGCUAUUUUACCUACGCUUAGGAUGUUGACACACGCGCGUGCUCG
This 776-nucleotide ribosomal RNA is filed under the name uncultured Neocallimastigales. RNAcentral describes it as "partial large subunit ribosomal RNA". It matches the Rfam family "Eukaryotic large subunit ribosomal RNA", at positions 20 to 621 of the family's 3401-position model. The record is from RNAcentral. Lineage: Eukaryota; Fungi; Neocallimastigomycota; Neocallimastigomycetes; Neocallimastigales.